UGCUUGGUAGGAGGAGGUGUGUCACUGGGGAUGGGCCUUGAUGUUUACUAGCCCCUAGCUUGCCAGCGUUACUUCAUUCUAUCUCCUGCUGCUGCU
This 96-nucleotide microRNA precursor is filed under the name Jaculus jaculus (lesser Egyptian jerboa). RNAcentral describes it as "miRNA (ENSJJAG00000000823.1)". Lineage: Eukaryota; Metazoa; Chordata; Mammalia; Rodentia; Dipodidae. The record is from RNAcentral.